This 251-nucleotide unclassified non-coding RNA is filed under the name uncultured Chloroflexota bacterium. Its description in RNAcentral is "uncultured Chloroflexi bacterium contains 16S-23S intergenic spacer region". Lineage: Bacteria; Bacillati; Chloroflexota. The record is from RNAcentral.
UCCGGUUUAGUACCGGCAGUCGCGCUAGACAUAGUAACUAGCGCCGAGGGUUGCGCUCGUUGCGGGACUUAACCCAACACCUCACGGCACGAGCUGACGACAGCCAUGCAGCAUCUGUGCCGGUUCCCGCCUUUACGGGUCGUCCCCCUUUCGGGGUUCUACUUCCGGCAUGUCAAGCCUAGGUGAGGUUCUUCGCGUUGCAUCGAAUUAAACCACACGCUCCGCUGCUUGUGCGGGCCCCCGUCAAUUCC